Molecule: ribosomal RNA, 792 nt
Filed under: uncultured archaeon
Lineage: Archaea
Description: bacterial SSU rRNA
Rfam family: Archaeal small subunit ribosomal RNA
Source: RNAcentral
GGCAGACGGCUCAGUAACGCGUAGUCAACCUAACCUAUGGACGGGAAUAACCUCGGGAAACUGAGAAUAAUGCCCGAUAGAACACUAUGCCUGGAAUGGUUUGUGUUCCAAAUGAUUUAUCGCCGUAGGAUGGGACUGCGGCCUAUCAGUUUGUUGGUGAGGUAAUGGCCCACCAAGACUAUUACAGGUACGGGCUCUGAGAGGAGUAGCCCGGAGAUGGGUACUGAGACACGGACCCAGGCCCUAUGGGACGCAGCAGGCGAGAAAACUUUGCAAUGUGCGAAAGCACGACAAGGUUAAUCCGAGUGGUUUCUGCUAAAGGAACCUUUUGUCGGUCCUAGAAACACCGAUGAAUAAGGGGUGGGCAAGUUCUGGUGUCAGCCGCCGCGGUAAAACCAGCACCUCAAGUGGUCAGGAUGAUUAUUGGGCCUAAAGCAUCCGUAGCCUGCUUUGUUAGUUUUCGGUUAAAUCUAUACGCUCAACGUAUAGGCUGCCGGGAAUACUGCAAAGCUAGGGAGUGGGAGAGGUAGACGGUACUCGGUAGGAAGGGGUAAAAUCCUUUGAUCUAUUGAUGACCACCUGUGGCGAAGGCGGUCUACCAGAACACGUCCGACGGUGAGGGAUGAAAGCUGGGGGAGCAAACCGGAUUAGAUACCCGGGUAGUCCCAGCCGUAAACUAUGCAAACUCAGUGAUGCAUUGGCUUGUGGCCAAUGCAGUGCUGCAGGGAAGCCGUUAAGUUUGCCGCCUGGGAAGUACGUACGCAAGUAUGAAACUUAAAGGAAUUGGCGGGA